Molecule: non-coding RNA, 1368 nt
Organism: Pelobates cultripes (western spadefoot toad)
Lineage: Eukaryota; Metazoa; Chordata; Amphibia; Anura; Pelobatidae
Source: the annotation of a GenBank genome assembly
GAGAGGAAGUGUUAGCUUACUCAGGCAUGGAUGUACUAUGUGUGUCAUUGAUGUAUGUUGAGUGUACCAAGGAUGGAUUCCAAUGUAUUAAGUGUGGAUAUGACUGGACUAUCGAAAUAGGGAUUUGAUUAGGAGGCAUAGGACGCAAGGUCAUGAUUGGGAUUAUUGCUAGAAUUGCAAACUGAUUAGAAAUGAUCUUAUGAUUUAAUAUGUAAGUGGCCUUUUCAAACUAAUCAAGAAGUGUUUCCCAAUCCCGAUACCUGAGCUAUUUACUUACAUAGUGCAGGUUUUAUAAGUCACUAAUGCUGUCAACGUGAGGGGAUGACAUGUUUACACAGUCAUGGCCCUCACUUAGAAUUUACCCAGAUGUGCUUUUUUUCUCAAUUAUGAGUUUUUGCCACUGGGAUUUUUGACCUGGCCCAAGUUCACUGGGUGGACUGGUAAUCCAAGACCCUGGUCCAAAGAGGGGAAAUAGAUUUUAUUCCCAUUUUUGAUUAUAUGUGUUUACGUUGUGAAUUAUAAUAAUAAUAUUCCUGUUGUUAGGAAUAAUACACUUUGCCUGUUUUGAUCCAAGGCUCAAGUUACAGAUAACAUGAUGUGCAGUAUGUUUAAAAUUGGUUAAGAUGUCAGCUGUUUGAAAUAUUUAACUUGUACACUUAAAAGAUGUGUACAACAGAUGAUUACAGAAGCUGAAAAUCGACAGCUCGAUCUCCUCUUAAAGGGAAAACCUACGGCAUAGAGCAAAUGGGGGAAAUCGAGGUGAAGAAAUAAGGAAAGUCCCGCAGACGUGAUUAGCACGUCUGAAUAUACCUCCUUUCGUUUCUCUGCCGCAGGCCUCCCAUGGAUAUUCCAUAAGGUAGAUCAUGAUAUGAUCUAAGAGGGGAAUUGUAGAUGCGAAUAUCCAUUUUGCUCUAUAUCCUAACUGUUCAUGUAAGGGUUAAUUUGAAUCAAGAAUAAAUUUGGAAUUGUAUCUCCAAUUCUCAGAAAUGUUAUUGAAACUUUGUUAUGUUCCUGGAAAAUGAUAUUUACAUGACAUGACAUGAUAAGGAUUCUGGAAUGACCUUGUUAAUUGUCCAAGAUUUCGGUAUUUGUAAUCAUCUGGGUUUUAUCCAAUAUGCAUACAUUAUGUAACAUCGAAUUAUAACUAAAAACAGCUGUUUAUAACUUGUGAAAAACAAUGUCAUUGUCACGCCCAUAUGCUCAUUUUUCCCCCUCCCAUCCUGCUAUGAAAAUGGGGUAUAAAUAUAACUGACGUAUGAAUACAAUUUGAAUUGGUUAUUGAACACGUCUCUGCUAUUCAUUUCCAAUUUCCAGAGCUCUGUAUGAGUUGGCAAAUAUCCAUCAUCCACAAAGGGCCAGGCUGAUUUU